AAGCGAAGAGGUGUGAGGAAGUUCUAAGAAAAGUUUCAAGCUAGCGGAGGUUGGCUCAUGUGGUUUAAGAAAAGAAGCUAUCUCUGUAACAUAAAAGUGCAAGUUGAAGUAGCACGUGCUGAUGGGAGAAGCAGGAGCAAGUUAUCCAGGAAAUCUAGCUAAGAUUGUUGAUGGAGGUGGCUAGGCUAAACAGCAGAUUUUCAGUGUAGACAGAACAGCCUUCUAUUGGAAGAAGAUG
Sapajus apella (tufted capuchin) is the source of this 238-nucleotide long non-coding RNA. RefSeq lists it as uncharacterized. Lineage: Eukaryota; Metazoa; Chordata; Mammalia; Primates; Cebidae. The record is from RefSeq and is a predicted model, not a curated record. The transcript has 3 exons.